CCUACGGGGGGCUGCAGUGAGGAAUAUUGGUCAAUGGGAGAGAUCCUGAACCAGCCAAGCCGCGUGAGGGAAGACGGCCCUAUGGGUUGUAAACCUCUUUUGUCGGAGAACAAAACCCGGGACGUGUCCCGGACUGCGUGUAUCCGAAGAAAAAGCAUCGGCUAACUCCGUGCCAGCAGCCGCGGUAAUACGGGGGAUGCGAGCGUUAUCCGGAUUUAUGGGGGUUAACGGGUGCGUAGGCGGUCCGUUAAGUCAGCGGUAAAAUUGCGGGGCUCAACCCCGUCGAGCCGUUGAAACUGGCAGACUUGAGUUGGCGAGAAGUACGCAGAAUGCGAGGUGUAGCGGUGAAAUGCAUAGAGAUGGCGCAGAACUCCGAUUGCGAAGGCAGCGUACCGGCGCCAGACUGACGCUGAGGCACGAAAGCGUGGGGAGCGAACAGGAUUAGAUACCCUGGUAGUC
This 459-nucleotide ribosomal RNA is filed under the name uncultured bacterium. RNAcentral describes it as "partial 16S ribosomal RNA". It matches the Rfam family "Bacterial small subunit ribosomal RNA", at positions 338 to 795 of the family's 1533-position model. The record is from RNAcentral.